UGCCGGCCGUCCAUAGGCCGGGGUUACUGAAGAGGCACUACUCUUGCCGGGCGCGUGGAUGGGGUCUUCCCACUCUCGCAAAGGCGUUGAACCCGACCG
This is a regulatory RNA element of Blastochloris viridis, 99 nucleotides long. It matches the Rfam family "speF leader". Rfam says of the family: This family is a putative regulatory RNA structure that is found upstream of the speF gene encoding ornithine decarboxylase in Agrobacterium tumefaciens and other alpha-proteobacteria. Lineage: Bacteria; Pseudomonadati; Pseudomonadota; Alphaproteobacteria; Hyphomicrobiales; Blastochloridaceae. The record is from Rfam.